Molecule: ribosomal RNA, 397 nt
Filed under: uncultured bacterium
Lineage: Bacteria
Description: bacterial SSU rRNA
Rfam family: Bacterial small subunit ribosomal RNA
Source: RNAcentral
AAUCAACGCUGGCGGCGUGCCUCAGACAUGCAAGUCGAACGAGAAAGUUCCCUUCGGGGAAUGAGUAAAGUGGCGCACGGGUGAGUAACACGUAGGUAAUCUACCUUCGGGUGGGGAAUAACCCAGGGAAACUUGGGCUAACACCGCAUAAUGCAGCGGCACCACAUGGUGACAGUUGUUAAAGCGGGGGAUUUUAGGACCUCGCGCCUGAAGAGGAGCCUGCGGCGGAUUAGCUUGUUGGUAAGGUAACGGCUUACCAAGGCGACGAUCCGUAGCCGGCCUGAGAGGGCGGUCGGCCACACUGACACUGACAUACGGGUCAGACUCCUACGGGAGGCAGCAGUCGGGAAUUUUGGGCAAUGGGCGAAAGCCUGACCCAGCAACGCCGCGUGAAGGA